This 251-nucleotide ribosomal RNA is filed under the name uncultured bacterium. RNAcentral describes it as "partial 16S ribosomal RNA". It matches the Rfam family "Bacterial small subunit ribosomal RNA", at positions 524 to 776 of the family's 1533-position model. The record is from RNAcentral.
UACGUAGGUGGCAAGCGUUGUCCGGAUUUAUUGGGCGUAAAGCGCGCGCAGGCGGUUAUGUAAGUCUGAUGUUAAAGCCCGGGGCUCAACCUCGGUCCGCAUUGGAAACUGUGUAACUUGAGUGCAGAAGAGGAAAGUGGUAUUCCACGUGUAGCGGUGAAAUGCGUAGAGAUGUGGAGGAACACCAGUGGCGAAGGCGGCGAUCUGGGAAGAUACUGACGCUGAGGUGCGAAAGCGUGGGAGCAAACAGG